UGUAUCAGACCAAAACAAAUCCGGGGCCUAGGAUUGGUUUUGGUCUGAUAAAUGCACGCAUCCCUGGGGGUCAGCGCUCGUCGGCAUGUAUUCGCUCUAGAAUUACCACAGUUAUCCAAG
Long non-coding RNA from Nanorana parkeri, 120 nucleotides. RefSeq lists it as uncharacterized. The record is from RefSeq and is a predicted model, not a curated record. The transcript has 3 exons. NCBI's taxonomy places the organism in Eukaryota, Metazoa, Chordata, Amphibia, Anura, Dicroglossidae.